Sander lucioperca (pikeperch) is the source of this 1201-nucleotide long non-coding RNA. RefSeq lists it as uncharacterized. The transcript is spliced from 2 exons. The record is from RefSeq and is a predicted model, not a curated record. Lineage: Eukaryota; Metazoa; Chordata; Actinopteri; Perciformes; Percidae.
CACCAGCUGACAGAGUGGAAAGUUAAUCUGAUGAUUAUUGGCCGGCUGGAUAUUAAACAAAAAACACAAUUUGAAUGACAGCAAAGUAGUCACCCUCAGGCAAUCAUUUGUUUUUCUUUUUUUCUUUUUAGAAGAAUAAUGAUCAAAGGUGGGUUUGGACGGAUAACACAUACUAUAUUUUCUCCAGUUGGGCUAAUGGCCAGCCUGACAACUUCAUGUUGAGAGAGAGUUGCGUUGAGAUGAACUACUGGGACUGGGGACUCUGGAACGAUGCGGCCUGUAAUGACCAGAAGCCGUACGUGUGUCAAGUACCUGUCUAGUAGUUCAGAGAGAACCUGAAGAGCAGCAGUGGGACCAGCCGGCUUCAACUGUAACCACUGCAAGCUUUUACAUUUACUGCAAUAAAUAUUCAGCAUCAGACAACAUGUUGAUGGUUCCUGGUUCUUUUCCUGUUUGUCACUGCCAGUGAUCCAUCUGUCCUGAUGUGAUAGGGAUGUCCAUUAAUUACUGACAUUUUCUGAUGAAGGUUAGCCUACUUUAAGCAAUGAUACACUAGAGCAGUGCUUCUCAAUCUUUUUUCAAUAAUGUACCCCCUAUCAAUUUAUUUCUCAGCCAAGUACCCCCUGACCGGCCCCAAACAUUUGAGAUAAAAAUAAAGCCUAUGACUACGAUAUAGUGAUGUCAUCAGCAUGAGAUUUAUUAAACAUUGUAAAUAAAAACAUCUGCAAAAAACAAUGUAAUAACCAAUCAUGCAGAUCAAGUACCCCUUUCCUGGCCCCGAACAUGUUUGAUUAAAAAAACUAUAUAAAAUAACAUAUACAUGUAUGUCUAUAUAUUAUACAUACCCGUAUUAUAGUGCCUGUAUGUGACCUCAGACAGUGCGUUUCCCUUUCGCACAAAAGAAGAGAUGUGGAAGUUACCAACAAAACGGACAGCGAAAGAUAUUUCCGACCAUCCUGCCAACCUGUACACAUUUUAACAUCAAUGUACGCUGUAACGUCUCUAAAGUCACUGAAGCUGCUGCUGUUUACAUCCUGUCGUCUCUGCAGCGGGGGGGCUGCUCCGUUCCCCCCGCGACUGACGCACACACUGGAGGCAGGAAAAACAAAACACAGCUGGCUAAACUAUUUAAAAAUGGUGGGUUUGUUCAGGACACCCCCCUCUGUCGCUUUCUCGUCACCUUUUGGGAUCGGCUCAGCUC